GACGAACGCUGGCGGCGUGCUUAACACAUGCAAGUCGAACGGAAAGGCCCUGCUUUUGUGGGGUGCUCGAGUGGCGAACGGGUGAGUAACACGUGAGUAACCUGCCCUUGACUUUGGGAUAACUUCAGGAAACUGGGGCUAAUACCGGAUAGGAGCUCCUGCUGCAUGGCGGGGGUUGGAAAGUUUCGGCGGUUGGGGAUGGACUCGCGGCUUAUCAGCUUGUUGGUGGGGUAGUGGCUUACCAAGGCUUUGACGGGUAGCCGGCCUGAGAGGGUGACCGGCCACAUUGGGACUGAGAUACGGCCCAGACUCCUACGGGAGGCAGCAGUGGGGAAUAUUGCACGAUGGGCGGAAGCCUGAUGCAGCAACGCCGCGUGCGGGAUGACGGCCUUCGGGUUGUAAACCGCUUUCGCCUGUGACGAAGCGUGAGUGACGGUAAUGGGUAAAGAAGCACCGGCUAACUACGUG
RNAcentral lists this ribosomal RNA (468 nucleotides) under uncultured bacterium. RNAcentral describes it as "partial 16S ribosomal RNA". It matches the Rfam family "Bacterial small subunit ribosomal RNA", at positions 28 to 507 of the family's 1533-position model. The record is from RNAcentral.